GUGCCAGCCGCCGCGGUAAUACGAAGGUGGCGAGCGUUGUUCGGAAUCACUGGGCUUAAAGAGCACGUAGGCGGCCCAUCAAGUACUUUGUGAAAUCCCAUGGCUCAACCAUGGAAUUGCUUGGUAUACUGUUCGGGCUUGAGGCAGGUAUGGGCGUGUGGAACUCUUGGUGGAGCGGUGGAAUGCGUAGAUAUCAAGAGGAACGCCGGAGGCGAAAGCGAUACGCUGGGCCUGUCCUGACGCUGAGGUGCGAAAGCCAGGGGAGCAAACGGGAUUAGAUACCCCCGUAGUCC
Molecule: ribosomal RNA, 293 nt
Filed under: uncultured bacterium
Lineage: Bacteria
Description: partial 16S ribosomal RNA
Rfam family: Bacterial small subunit ribosomal RNA
Source: RNAcentral